GAGUCUCUUUUCAGGUAAAAUACAUGCCAAACUAACAAGGUUAGUUAAUGCCUUCCUGUUCACACUUCUAUAUUUUGCUUGAGUCUGUUCUUAUGCACAUAUUGCAUUUGCACCUUACAGUCUCAGAACUCCAUAGUCCAUGCAGAGUGCAGCUCAUUUUAGUGACAGGAUGUUACAUGGAAUCUGGAGUCUCAGCAGCGCUACAAGUAUCUUGUGAAGAUAUAGGAUGGUUGUGAAGAAAUCGGCAUCAGUUUGUUCAGUUCAUACUUCAUAGCACAUGUCACUUCAAGAAGAUUUUGCACGAGAUUAUGUGAUCUUUUUGCGUCAUAUUUUUUCCUAUCAUAAUGUAUAUGUACCCAGUCUCCGUUCAUCGCAUGGCAAAACUUAUAUAAUAUUUCUUUACCAAUUUCUGAAGAAAAUUACCACUGGCCGGCCAGUGGCCAGCUCAAAAAUGGAUUUUUUUUUAAAACGAACCUUGUGUUACAACAUACUAGUAGC
RNAcentral lists this long non-coding RNA (498 nucleotides) under Setaria italica (foxtail millet). Its description in RNAcentral is "long non-coding RNA (SITA_LNC002866)". The record is from RNAcentral. Lineage: Eukaryota; Viridiplantae; Streptophyta; Magnoliopsida; Poales; Poaceae.